AGAAGUGAGGAUGAUCUGGCUGUGAUAUCUGUCACCCCAUUGAUUGGCCAGCAUUGAUUCUGCUGAUCUGGUUAGCUAGGCAUUGUCCCCUUCCUCCCUCACUGCUUUGUGUGCGUCCCUCCCAGAGCUGCAAGCUCAGUUGAAGAGGAUGACCUUCCCCAUAGAGGAGGACCCUUCUUCAGUCAAGGUAUACGAGUAGCUGCAUUCCCUUGCUAGAACUUCCAAAUGAGCUUUCAAAGGGAGGGAUUCUUUUUGGAUGGGCCAAGCAGAGAAGAGCAGUAUUUUGAACAAAUAAUACAACCUAUUAUAGUUGCUUAAUAAAUUGUAACUAUUAUUG
Molecule: small nuclear RNA, 337 nt
Filed under: Canis lupus familiaris (dog)
Lineage: Eukaryota; Metazoa; Chordata; Mammalia; Carnivora; Canidae
Also listed under: 1 other name
Description: 7SK RNA
Rfam family: 7SK RNA
About the family: 7SK was discovered as an abundant small nuclear RNA in the mid-70s but a possible function has only recently been suggested. Two independent studies have found that 7SK RNA binds the CDK9/cyclin T complex (known as elongation factor P-TEFb).
Source: Rfam by way of RNAcentral